Molecule: ribosomal RNA, 519 nt
Filed under: uncultured bacterium
Lineage: Bacteria
Description: bacterial SSU rRNA
Rfam family: Bacterial small subunit ribosomal RNA
Source: RNAcentral
GAUGAGCCUGCGUCCUAUUAGUUAGUUGGUGAGGUAACGGCUCACCAAGGCAACGAUGGAUAGGGGAACUGAGAGGUUUAUCCCCCACACUGGUACUGAGACACGGACCAGACUCCUACGGGAGGCAGCAGUGAGGAAUAUUGGUCAAUGGAGGCAACUCUGAACCAGCCACGUCGCGUGAAGGAUGACGGCCCUACGGGUUGUAAACUUCUUUUAUACAGGAAUAAAGUGAGUCACGUGUGACUUUUUGCAUGUACUGUAUGAAUAAGGAUCGGCUAACUCCGUGCCAGCAGCCGCGGUAAUACGGAGGAUCCAAGCGUUAUCCGGAUUUAUUGGGUUUAAAGGGUGCGCAGGCGGAAGAUUAAGUCGGCGGUGAAAUUUUGCAGCUCAACUGUAAAAGUGCCAUCGAUACUGGUUUUCUUGAGUGUGGAUGAAGUAGGCGGAAUUUGUGGUGUAGCGGUGAAAUGCAUAGAUAUCACGAGGAACUCCGAUUGCGCAGGCAGCUUACUAGGCCCAUAA